This 614-nucleotide ribosomal RNA is filed under the name uncultured eukaryote. RNAcentral's name for it is "eukaryotic LSU rRNA". It matches the Rfam family "Eukaryotic large subunit ribosomal RNA", at positions 759 to 1372 of the family's 3401-position model. The record is from RNAcentral.
CGGCCGCCGGCCGGACGUCCUCGAGGCGGACCGAGCCGGAGCGCUCGCGUCGGGACCCGAAAGGUGGUGAUCUAUCCGUGCGCGCGGCGAAGCCGGGGAAACCCCGGUGGAGGCCCGUCGACGGUACUGACGUGCAAAUCGUUCGUCCGACGUGCGAAUAGGGGCGAAAGACCAAUCGAACCUCCUAGUAGCUGGUUUCCGCCGAAAUUUCCCUCAGGAUAGCGGCCAUCGCGGAAACGUUUUGACCGGUAGAGCGAACGACUAGAGGUACCGGGGCCGUAACGGCCUCGACCUAUUCUCGAACUCCGAACGGGCAAGGAGCCGGGGUCGCCCGAUCGGACCCCGGACGUGAAGUCGACGAUGGUCGGUGGGCUGGUUUUGGUAAGCAGAACGGGCGAUUCGGGAUGAACCGGAAGCGGGGAGAAAGGGCCCGAGAUUGCGUCGACGCGGAUCCCGAAAAGGGCGUCGAUCCGUCGCGACAGCGGGACGGUGGUCAUGGAAGUCGAAAUCCGCUAAGAAGCGUGUAAAAACGUACCCGCCCAACGGAUCGGCCCCGAAAAUUGAUGGCGCUCGAACGCAACCCUCGAACCCCGCCGACGGAGGCUAGGGGAGGC